GUGCAAACUAGAUCACUAGCCCUGCAGCCAGUUGCAGAAGCAAGGGGAACACGUUUGCUAGAGUAACCGAUGUAGAAACUGAAAAGCUAUAGAAUUGAUUCUGUGGCUUUAUAGUUCUGCACAACAAGC
Bufo bufo (common toad) is the source of this 129-nucleotide small nucleolar RNA. The record is from RefSeq and is a predicted model, not a curated record. Lineage: Eukaryota; Metazoa; Chordata; Amphibia; Anura; Bufonidae.